GGGCGUGUGGCGCAACGGAUAAAGGCGUCUGACUACGGAUCAGAAGAUUCCAGGUUCGAAUCCUGGCACGCUCG
Molecule: transfer RNA, 74 nt
Filed under: Haliotis rubra (blacklip abalone)
Lineage: Eukaryota; Metazoa; Mollusca; Gastropoda; Lepetellida; Haliotidae
Description: tRNA-Arg
Rfam family: tRNA
About the family: Transfer RNA (tRNA) molecules are approximately 80 nucleotides in length. Their secondary structure includes four short double-helical elements and three loops (D, anti-codon, and T loops).
Source: RNAcentral